RNAcentral lists this ribosomal RNA (534 nucleotides) under uncultured bacterium. Its description in RNAcentral is "partial 16S ribosomal RNA". It matches the Rfam family "Bacterial small subunit ribosomal RNA", at positions 355 to 881 of the family's 1533-position model. The record is from RNAcentral.
UAGGGAAUCUUCGGCAAUGGACGAAAGUCUGACCGAGCAACGCCGCGUGAGUGAAGAAGGUUUUCGGAUCGUAAAACUCUGUUGGUAGAGAAGAACGUUGGUGAGAGUGGAAAGCUCAUCAAGUGACGGUAACUACCCAGAAAGGGACGGCUAACUACGUGCCAGCAGCCGCGGUAAUACGUAGGUCCCGAGCGUUGUCCGGAUUUAUUGGGCGUAAAGCGAGCGCAGGUGGUUUAUUAAGUCUGGUGUAAAAGGCAGUGGCUCAACCAUUGUAUGCAUUGGAAACUGGUAGACUUGAGUGCAGGAGAGGAGAGUGGAAUUCCAUGUGUAGCGGUGAAAUGCGUAGAUAUAUGGAGGAACACCGGUGGCGAAAGCGGCUCUCUGGCCUGUAACUGACACUGAGGCUCGAAAGCGUGGGGAGCAAACAGGAUUAGAUACCCUGGUAGUCCACGCCGUAAACGAUGAGUGCUAGAUGUAGGGAGCUAUAAGUUCUCUGUAUCGCAGCUAACGCAAUAAGCACUCCGCCUGGGGAGU